AAGUAGGUGCCAGGUAGGGUGACCUUCUAAUUGUUGGGGUCACUGGGCUUUGCCAUAAUCUCUAGGAGACCAUGAAACUUUUGAGCAUUGGAUAGUGAGAUGAGUAGGGUCUAUCUGGCUGAUUGAGAGCACCCAAUGUGUUAGAAAAUUAGUCAGUGUCUUGUGUCUCCUUCUGAUUGGCAGUUGAAGAUCAAGCUUCCCCCCGCAUGGCAGAAUGGUGCAGGAGUUCAAGAGUCCCUUGGAACACCAUUCUCCAGGCUUUGCUAACUAGCCUGUUUCCCUCUCCCCAUGCCUGUUCCUACAGGACA
RNAcentral lists this long non-coding RNA (308 nucleotides) under Bos taurus (domestic cattle). Its description in RNAcentral is "long non-coding RNA NONBTAT024514". Lineage: Eukaryota; Metazoa; Chordata; Mammalia; Artiodactyla; Bovidae. The record is from RNAcentral.